Dermochelys coriacea (leatherback sea turtle) is the source of this 956-nucleotide long non-coding RNA. RefSeq lists it as uncharacterized. The record is from RefSeq and is a predicted model, not a curated record. The transcript is spliced from 3 exons. Lineage: Eukaryota; Metazoa; Chordata; Testudines; Dermochelyidae.
UAACAAAUCAGGUAUUUAAAAAAAAAAAAAAAAAAGGAAGAAAUCUGGGCUCAGUGGACACUUGAAUGCCUCUCAACUUCUCCUGCAGACAGAAAGUUGGUCACUGGACAUCUGCAGUUAUCUGUUGGAGACCUCCUCAAGACCCUAGUUUCUAUUUUACAGUACUGUACAGAAAGAUGAAGCAUCAUGCUGAAGAAAUGGAAGAGGAAUGCAGCAAUGUUCUUUGUAGUUCUUUGGCUGCACUCUCGCCAUUGUCUGCAUAGCAGCCAUUUGUUCUAUGGACGGACAUGAUCUAAAGGAGCAUCAUUUCUAGAUCAACAGUUCUCAAACUUCAUUGCACUGAGAUCCCCUUCUGACAACAAAAAAGUACUACAUGACGCCAGGGCCCUGUGUUACUCUAGAAGAGUUAAUAUUUUAAAUUUAAAAAUGCAUUAAAAGGAUGCAUCUACAAAAAAACACUAUCCACUAAAUAUUUAAACUCACAAUACAAUCGCAAGACAAUCUUUCUAGUCCAGCAGUAAAAAAAUAAAAUAAAAUGCAUAAAAUACGUACCUAAUGGGAGUGAUGAGCUUGUACUGAUGAACACAAAUCCUUGAAGUGGGGCUCUUUGUGACUGAGGUAAAGACUUGUCAUCUUUAUCAGUGAAAUGGAUCUUGUAUGUGUUUUUCAGGAAAGUCACUGCUGAAAAGCUAGCUUCACACAGGUGGCAUGAGUGGUCAAUGCUGCAGAUAACAGCUCUGUAUGUUCUUCUCACACACAAAUCCAGAAGUUAGCAAAAAGUUGUUCAGAAAAAUCUCAGCAUCAAUGUCACAUCCAUUAAUGCUUUUUUCACUGUAAGUUGGAGUUGCCAACUUUCAUGCGGUAAAUAAGCACCCCGACUGUCACAAUAAGCCAAAAAUCAAGCUAAUCCCUUUCAAAACAAGGCCAAAAAUAAGCCAAUCCCUAAGAACCCCAAC